GACGAACGCUGGCGGCGUGCUUAACACAUGCAAGUCGAACGGAAAGGCCCUGCUUGCAGGGUACUCGAGUGGCGAACGGGUGAGUAACACGUGGGUGAUCUGCCCUGCACUUCGGGAUAAGCCUGGGAAACUGGGUCUAAUACCGGAUAGGAGCCAUUUUUAGUGUGAUGGUUGGAAAGUUUUUUCGGUGUAGGAUGAGCUCGCGGCCUAUCAGCUUGUUGGUGGGGUAAUGGCCUACCAAGGCGGCGACGGGUAGCCGGCCUGAGAGGGUGGACGGCCACAUUGGGACUGAGAUACGGCCCAGACUCCUACGGGGGGCAGCAGUGGGGAAUUUUGCCAAAUGGGGGAAAGCCUGAUGCAGCGACGCCGCGGGGGGGAUGACGGCCUUCGGGUUUUAAACCCCUUUCGCUGGGGAAGAAGCUUUUUGUGACGGUACCGAGAUAAGAAGCACCGGCUAACUACGU
RNAcentral lists this ribosomal RNA (464 nucleotides) under uncultured bacterium. Its description in RNAcentral is "partial 16S ribosomal RNA". It matches the Rfam family "Bacterial small subunit ribosomal RNA", at positions 28 to 506 of the family's 1533-position model. The record is from RNAcentral.